UCGCACGAAGAAAGGGAGCCAAUCCUAAGUAAAGUGGCGCACGGGUGAGUAACACGUGGAUUAUCUACCUUUUAGUGGGGAAUACCUCUGGGAAACCGGAGACAAUACCGCAUAAGCCUGUAAAGGGAAAGCAGCAAUGCGCUGAAAGAGGAGUCCGCGGCCGAUUAGCUAGUUGGCGGGGUAACGGCCCACCAAGGCGAAGAUCGGUAGCCGGCCUGAGAGGACACACGGCCACACCGGCACUGAAACACGGGCCAGACUCCUACGGGAGGCAGCAGUGGGGAAUCUUGCACAAUGGGCGAAAGCCUGAUGCAGCGACGCCGCGUGAGCGAUGAAGCCCUUCGGGGUGUAAAGCUCUUUCGACGGGAACGAUAAUGACGGUACCCGGAGAAGAAGCUGCGGCUAACUACGUGCCAGCAGCCGCGGUAAUACGUAGGCAGCGAGCGUUGUUCGGAAUUACUGGGCGUAAAGAGUGUGUAGGCGGUGUUCCCAGUCUGUUGUGAAAUCUCCCGGCUUAACUGGGAGGGUGCAGCGGAAACUAGAAUGCUAGAGGGUGGGAGAGGUAAGCGGAAUUCCUGGUGUGGCGGUGAAAUGCGUAGAUAUCAGGAGGAACACCUGUGGUGUAGACAGCUUACUGGACCACUUCUGACGCUGAGACACGAAAGCGUGGGUAGCAAACAGGAUUAGAUACCCUGGUAGUCCACGCCCCUAACGAUGCAUACUUGGUGUGAGCGAU
This 736-nucleotide ribosomal RNA is filed under the name uncultured bacterium. RNAcentral describes it as "bacterial SSU rRNA". It matches the Rfam family "Bacterial small subunit ribosomal RNA", at positions 62 to 830 of the family's 1533-position model. The record is from RNAcentral.